RNAcentral lists this ribosomal RNA (464 nucleotides) under Vreelandella stevensii. Its description in RNAcentral is "partial 16S ribosomal RNA". It matches the Rfam family "Bacterial small subunit ribosomal RNA", at positions 338 to 795 of the family's 1533-position model. Lineage: Bacteria; Pseudomonadati; Pseudomonadota; Gammaproteobacteria; Oceanospirillales; Halomonadaceae. The record is from RNAcentral.
CCUACGGGCGGCUGCAGUGGGGAAUAUUGGACAAUGGGCGAAAGCCUGAUCCAGCCAUGCCGCGUGUGUGAAGAAGGCCUUCGGGUUGUAAAGCACUUUCAGUGGGGAAGAAAGCCUUGGGGCUAAUACCCUCGAGGAAGGACAUCACCCACAGAAGAAGCACCGGCUAACUCCGUGCCAGCAGCCGCGGUAAUACGGAGGGUGCGAGCGUUAAUCGGAAUUACUGGGCGUAAAGCGCGCGUAGGCGGUCUGAUAAGCCGGUUGUGAAAGCCCCGGGCUCAACCUGGGAACGGCAUCCGGAACUGUCAGGCUAGAGUGCAGGAGAGGAAGGUAGAAUUCCCGGUGUAGCGGUGAAAUGCGUAGAGAUCGGGAGGAAUACCAGUGGCGAAGGCGGUCUUCUGGACUGACACUGACGCUGAGGUGCGAAAGCGUGGGUAGCAAACAGGAUUAGAUACCCCGUAGUC